AUCCCAUUAGUGAUGAGGGUAG
RNAcentral lists this non-coding RNA (22 nucleotides) under Arabidopsis thaliana (thale cress). The record is from RNAcentral. Lineage: Eukaryota; Viridiplantae; Streptophyta; Magnoliopsida; Brassicales; Brassicaceae.